This 519-nucleotide ribosomal RNA is filed under the name uncultured bacterium. Its description in RNAcentral is "bacterial SSU rRNA". It matches the Rfam family "Bacterial small subunit ribosomal RNA", at positions 791 to 1308 of the family's 1533-position model. The record is from RNAcentral.
UAGUCCACGCCGUAAACGAUGGAUACUAGGUGUCCGGGAAGUUAACCUCCUGGGUACUACAGCUAACGCGUUAAGUAUCCCGCCUGGGGAGUACGGUCGCAAGGCUAAAACUCAAAGGAAUUGACGGGGGCCCGCACAAGCGGUGGAGUAUGUGGUUUAAUUCGAAGCAACGCGCAGAACCUUACCUACCCUUAACAUUUCACGCUCGCCUCAGAGAUGAGGUUUUCUCUUCGGAGACGUGAGGAUAGGUGCUGCAUGGCUGUCGUCAGCUCGUGUCGUAAGAUGUCUGGUUAAGUCCCGCAACGAGCGCAACCCCUAUUGUUAGUUGCCAGCGAGUAAUGUCGGGGACUCUAACGAGACUGCCCGCGUAAGCGGAGAGGAAGGUGGGGACGACGUCAAAUCAUCAUGGCCUUUAUGCCUAGGGCUACACACGUGCUACAAUGGCAGGUACAGAGGGUUGCGAAGGGGUGACCUGGAGCUAAUCUCAGAAAGCCUGUCCCAGUUCGGAUUGGAGUCUGC